AUGAGCCAAGUUUAGAAGCUUCUUUAAAGAGCUUCAUAGCAAGAUUAAACUGAAGAGUUUGAUCAUGGCUCAGAUUGAACGCUGGCGGCAGGCUUAACACAUGCAAGUCGAGCGGUAACAGGAGAAGCUUGCUUCUUGCUGACGAGCGGCGGACGGGUGAGUAAUACUUAGGAAUCUGCCCAGUAGUGGGGGAUAGCUCGGGGAAACUCGAAUUAAUACCGCAUACACCCUACGGGGAAAAGGGGGCGCUUGCGCUCUCGCUAUUGGAUGAGCCUAAGUCGGAUUAGCUAGUUGGUGGGGUAAAGGCCUACCAAGGCGACGAUCUGUAGCUGGUCUGAGAGGAUGAUCAGCCACACCGGGACUGAGACACGGCCCGGACUCCUACGGGAGGCAGCAGUGGGGAAUAUUGGACAAUGGGGGGAACCCUGAUCCAGCCAUGCCGCGUGUGUGAAGAAGGCCUUUUGGUUGUAAAGCACUUUAAGCAGUGAAGAAGACUCUAUGGUUAAUACCCAUAGACGAUGACAUUAGCUGCAGAAUAAGCACCGGCUAACUCUGUGCCAGCAGCCGCGGUAAUACAGAGGGUGCAAGCGUUAAUCGGAAUUACUGGGCGUAAAGCGAGCGUAGGUGGCUUAAUAAGUCAGAUGUGAAAUCCCCGGGCUUAACCUGGGAACUGCAUCUGAUACUGUUAGGCUAGAGUAGGUGAGAGGGAGGUAGAAUUUCAGGUGUAGCGGUGAAAUGCGUAGAGAUCUGAAGGAAUACCGAUGGCGAAGGCAGCCUCCUGGCAUCAUACUGACACUGAGGUUCGAAAGCGUGGGUAGCAAACAGGAUUAGAUACCCUGGUAGUCCACGCCGUAAACGAUGUCUACUAGUCGUUGGGGAACUUGAUUCCUUAGUGACGCAGCUAACGCAAUAAGUAGACCGCCUGGGGAGUACGGCCGCAAGGUUAAAACUCAAAUGAAUUGACGGGGGCCCGCACAAGCGGUGGAGCAUGUGGUUUAAUUCGAUGCAACGCGAAGAACCUUACCUGGUCUUGACAUAUCUAGAAUCCUGCAGAGAUGCGGGAGUGCCUUCGGGAAUUAGAAUACAGGUGCUGCAUGGCUGUCGUCAGCUCGUGUCGUGAGAUGUUGGGUUAAGUCCCGCAACGAGCGCAACCCUUUUCCUUAGUUACCAGCGGUUCGGCCGGGGACUCUAAGGAUACUGCCAGUGACAAACUGGAGGAAGGCGGGGACGACGUCAAGUCAUCAUGGCCCUUACGACCAGGGCUACACACGUGCUACAAUGGUAGGUACAGAGGGCUGCUACACAGCGAUGUGAUGCGAAUCUCAAAAAGCCUAUCGUAGUCCAGAUUGGAGUCUGCAACUCGACUCCAUGAAGUCGGAAUCGCUAGUAAUCGCGGAUCAGAAUGCCGCGGUGAAUACGUUCCCGGGCCUUGUACACACCGCCCGUCACACCAUGGGAGUUGAUUGCACCAGAAGUGGGUAGCCUAACUUUUAGAGGGCGCUCACCACGGUGUGGUCGAUGACUGGGGUGAAGUCGUAACAAGGUAGCCGUAGGGGAACCUGCGGCUGGAUCACCUCCUUAU
RNAcentral lists this ribosomal RNA (1582 nucleotides) under Psychrobacter sanguinis. Its description in RNAcentral is "bacterial SSU rRNA". It matches the Rfam family "Bacterial small subunit ribosomal RNA". The record is from RNAcentral. Lineage: Bacteria; Pseudomonadati; Pseudomonadota; Gammaproteobacteria; Moraxellales; Moraxellaceae.